AUAUAAGACCAUUUACAUACGUAUAUACAUAUGCGUUUAGGAAAGACAUUCGAGGGAGAAGAGAGUGACGGAGAAACAGGCAGAGGGAGAGAGGGGGGAGCGCCAUUCAGGAUGUGUAUGUACAGUACUGUGGUUCUGACAGCAGAGACAUUACAGCGCAAGUGCUGUAGGUUCCUAUAGCCUAGUUUUCUGAAAAUGCUGAUCUCUCACUUGUAUCCUUACAUGAGUGCUCUUUAGCUUUGGCCACAAGGUUUAUGUCUGGUUUUGAUAAGUAGCUCAUUGUCUGAUGUAACAUCAACUGUUGGCCUGCAAUGGAAAUUUCAAACAAGCAGGAUAUUUAAUUUAAAAAAGAUAUUCCUUGCUUUCCCAUAACUGUACAAUUUUAGUGGAGUAACUCUUUAGUUCUGUUUUAAAGCUUUAAAUGCAGCUAAAUUGAAAAAUCUUCACCUAGAGGCCCAGUUAAGACCGUGUCUUUAUUUUUUUUUUGCCCACCAGUUCAGCAAAGAUUAGUUUUCAAUUGAAAAUUUUGCCUUACAUGACAUAAUUAUUCACCAAGUUGUAGGCUACUGUUACAAGCAUCACUGAUGUGUCUAUACUGUAUUCUUUCACUUUUCACUGGCUCUGGCCCUGGAGAGAAUAUUGGAGAAGGCAUUCCCCUAAUUAUUUCCCACAACCUGCAAGAAUUUUUGUGGGCCAUCCGUAGCCAGCCUCUGGGCUCCAGAAUCAUCAACACCUUGUACCUCAUCAGUGAAGAUGCUGGGAAGUCUCAAAGUCCAUUUAUGGUCGCAGUAGCAAACAGCAUACGCUGGCAGACAUGUUGAGCUGACAGAGAGAGAUCUACAGUUUCAGGAGCUAAGGCCCUCGUGCUGUUGGACAAAUUUCAUGCUCUUGAUCCUCAAGUGCACCGCAGCAGAGACAAGGUUUGGACAGGGCCUGGGAUCCUGCAGGGAUGGGAGAGGUCCAGGCUUGUGACCCCUGACGGCGAGGGCUUUAGAGGAGAAGAGGCCCAGGCCAGAGAGGGCAUAGGGCAACAUGGGGUGACUGAAGGACACAGUGUGGGGUCACACUGGGGCUCUUCCUGCUCUGCAUGUUGUAUGCCCCUGUGCUCCCGAGGCCAGAGCCUGAUUACUGCGCUGGGAUCCAGCCACAGAGCGUUUUCAUUAGGGAGAGGGCCAAGAUCAUCCAGGAAGGUUCCGGCCCAUUAAUACAUUUGAAACAGCAAAUGAAAGCGGGGGCUGUUGAGGGGUCUGAAAGGGGGGUUCUGGGUUAUUUUGAAAGGGGAGAACCCUGUGGAACUACCAUGAGAGCCUUAGUGAAUAAAUACCCUGUGGAUCAUCUUAACCUCAUUCUACUUUUUUUUUUCCUUUCCCCUCUCUAAGAUCUGCAGCCAAUUUUCCUGCAAUUUAGGAUAAAUUGUUUGUGAAAUCCAUGUCGAUCUUUCCACUGGGAAUGCGUUCACAAAAGAUAGAGAAAGGAGGACCUGGCUGUAAGGAUAGCUGCAGUGAGAAUGGAACAAUGUCUGAAGGAUUUGGCUAAUGACAUCAUCUGCUUCCUGUUUCAGACUUAUGCUUCUGAUACACACAAUCAUAACAGACAGUAGAAGUCGAUUUUGCAUUCACACUUGAAGUAGCAUGUAGUGAUCAAAGUAACUUUAUUCAUGUGACAUAAUACACCGUACUCUGAGAUGUAUUUAAAGCCUGGGGUUAGGAGACAAUACAAGCCUACGAAUGGAUAAACUAUUAUUUGAAAUAUUCUUUGCUCAAACACUUUCAUCUGCCUUUAUUAGAAAAUGCAAGAAAGCAGGUUGGUCUAAUCAUACUGAAGGUUAACCGCUCAUCUUCCCUCUCCAUGGUAAAUAUGAUAUUUCCCCAGCUAGUAGUUGCACCACUGUAGGUGUUUAUUACCAAUAACCAUAUCAAGCCAUCACUGCUAGAAGAAAAGAAAUCUCUUCAGGUCAGUUUCCACACUAGUUAAUAUUUUAUCCUGCGUAGUGGUGUAAUGACUACUAUUGAUUUUUCACCAUCUCUUAUUAAUGCAGUCUGGUGCCACAGCAAAAUGCUAAUCAUAUAGCACGCCUCUCUACAUUUAUCAUGUUAACUUCUUCAUCUGCUGUAACUAAAAUAUGUCUCAUUCCCAGGUCUGUGAAACCUGGUGGUACUUCAGAGGCCUGCUGUGAUGCUUCUCUCAGCUGACUAAUGUGACUUGUUUUAAACUUUAAAUAAAAUGGUAACA
Monopterus albus (swamp eel) is the source of this 2232-nucleotide long non-coding RNA. RefSeq lists it as uncharacterized. NCBI's taxonomy places the organism in Eukaryota, Metazoa, Chordata, Actinopteri, Synbranchiformes, Synbranchidae. The transcript is spliced from 4 exons. The record is from RefSeq and is a predicted model, not a curated record.